UUCCCAUAGCGCAAACCAAUUUUAUAUAUAACCAUCUCACAACAAACCCAACAACUAAAGAAAGAGAUUUUCAGAGGUUAAUAUAUACAUUACUUCCUUCUUUUUCAUCAUCUUUCACAUCUCUUAAGUUCAAACCUUAACACAAACAUGGGACUCAGAUCACGUACGCUAGAAAUCACCGUUAUCUCCGGUGAAAACGUCCGCAUAAUGGAGGACGCAUACGUCGUCGUUCGGGCGGAGUCGCUCAACUGCUGCACCACCAGAUCGGCCAAAGACCAUGGCACCAACUUCCUCUCCUGGAACGAGAAGUUCCUGUUGGACGUGCCCAUGCAUGCAAGAUCGAUCACAUUCGAGGUCCAAUGCACCAAAUUUAAGGCUUUUCGCCCUCUUGGGGUGGCCAGAAUCGCUGCCUCCGACUUCCUCGGGGACGCCGCCGUCCCGGAAAAUCAGUUGCAAGAGUGGAGUUACGGGUUGAGGGACUGGGAAGGGAAGAGAAACGGGGUCAUUCACUUCGCCGUGAGACUAGUACCUCCGCCGCCACCAAAGGAGGAGAAAUGUCUGAAGCCCAGCGUGAAAGCGGUGGUGACCAGAAAGGGUUGCGGUUACGGAUUGAAGGCCGGUGACAAGAAGAAGGAAGUUGUAAACCGUGUCCCAUUUUGGUGGAACUACCCUAACAUUGUUUAGAAUUUAAUUUAUUAUAAUUAUUAUUUGUAUAACGGUCAAAUAAUACACAAAUUGUGAGAAAGAUUAUGAAUUUAAAAUCUAGAUUUCUACAUAUGUUAUAUAAAUUUAAUUUUUUGAAAGUUUUGUUCCCUCCCUCGUUACAUACACCAAGAACGCGUGUUAAAUAUGUGUGUAUUUAUUGCAUUUUUCAAAGACUUUGCAUAGAAGUAAAGAUCUUGUUGAUUAUAGUUAUUCGAGGUAAAAUAGGUUGAAGUUCCAGGUGGCGGAAACGUGUGAUUUUGUUGGAUACGUGGGGUCCAUUGUGUGUUCCACGUACUUAACUCUAAUCAUAUGGAUAACAAAGCAUGCAAUUUAAAGAAAGAUUGAUGGAAGAAAGCGCGUUAAGGGUGAGACCAAUUCAAAAUUUUGUGAGCUUUUGACUUGGUAUGUAUUAGAAGAUUAUACUAGAUAAAGUUAUUAUCGUAUACUAGAUAUAUACAUGAAAUCUAUAUUUUGCUAUGAAGAAUUGUUGUUUGGGAGAACACAUUGUCCAUACAAUUUAUGGACUUUUAAAAAAACUCUCUUUGAAUGGUCAGAUCCGUACUAUUGGGGAUGAACCAGUCUCUUGUUCUGGAGGACUUAUUUGUAUUAGUCAUAAAACAGGUUGUAUUGAAUUUGAAUCUAAUAGCGAGAGGUCCUAAUGAUGAAUUUGAAUUUCUUAAUGAAAUUGUUGAGUGUGCCUAGAUAAUAUUUAAAAUUUGUUGUAUAAUUAUCACUACAAAAAAUAAUUAUGGUAGAGUUCCCAAAAGAGCAACGCAAAGAGUAAAAAAUAGAUUAUACAUGGGAUUAGUGUGGUUUAGCGUUCCAAUAGAAAUGAAAGCUAAUGUUUUGGUGGUUAUUCAUUAGAGACAACCUCCAAUAGGAUACAAAUUUACAAGGUAGUGUUAGCUAAACCUACAUAAAGAAAAAUAUAUUAUUUAACUAUAGCGUAGGUUUAGGGGACACUAAAAUGACUAUAAAAUUAAAUAAUUUUAAGAAGUGGACUUUAAGUUUUUUCAUCCACUUAUAUACUAUGAAAUGAUCAUAAUCUCUAGUCGAUGUGAGAUCUCCAACAACACACACCCCUCACGCUGAGACUAUCAACUCAUGCGUGAGACUAUAUAUUAGGAGUGGUCCGAUAACAAACCGAUAGCAGGUGGCCUAAUAAGCCCAAUAAACAAGUGUUAGGAUAGGCUCGAGAUGACUCUAAUACCAUAUUAAGAAGUGGACUUUAAACCUAACUCAACCUCAUAAAACCAACUUAUAAGGUGAGGUUUAUACCCACUUAUAUACUAUGAAAUGUCCUAAUAUAUAGUUGAUGUAGGAUCUCCAACAAUAAUUAAACUUAGUGUCCCCAUUGGGGACACUACGUGAGAAAGCAAAUGUGAGUAAAUUUUCGACAUUAGGGGCACUACCUGUGAAACAAAUAUUAGUGUCGUCUGGACCUACGCUAAAUUUAAUAAAACAUUAACUUGCAUCCACUUUGUGUCCCCAUUUUGGACACAAUAUCAUUCUAUAACUUAUUUUUUUAUUGCAUCUACUUUGUGUUCACAUUCUAGACGCUAACUUAUUAUUAUUAUUUUAAUAAUUUUUAACUUGCAUCAACUUUGUGUCCACAUUCUAGACUCAAUAUUAUUUUAUCACUUAUUUUUUUGUUCAUUGUAUUUACUUUGUGUCCCUUCUCUAAAUGCUAACUUAUUAUUAUUAUUUUAAUAAUUUUUAGUGUGAGUUAAAGGUCUCCUUUGUGGACAUAAUGUUUGACAUUAAUUUUUGUGUUCAACUUGAGUAGACUUCACCCUUGCUAGUGGCUUCCUUUUUAUAAUCAUCACUUUUCGUUGGAAGCUAAAGUGGAUUUUUCUUGUAGUGUAUUGAAGUGUCGGUUGUUUGGCAUUUUUUUUUCAACACUUUAAUAUUCUUUUCUUAAUUCAUUAGUGCUCGGUCAGGAUUGACCUGUAAAAGUUACUCCAACGAUCAAGUAAGUAUUCCGUAUUCAAAGUGUAUAUUAAGAAUUAAUUCAAAGCGUACAUUAUUCUUAUGAUGUGUCGAAUCUAUAAAAUAUCAGUGUUAACUUAUUUAUAGGGAACUAGGGAGGUUCCCUGAUUUCCCGAUACAUUACCCAGAUUUGGUGGAAUGUACCCCUGAUUCUCAAGGAGUCUCUGCAACUGCCUUAACUAUUAUUUAUUGAAGCUGAUUUAAAUGUGUCUCCCACUAGUUGGUUGGUCACCAAGACCGAGUGACAUGGCUCGUCCGCUACCAACAGGUACACUUGCCCCCCCCCUCCCCAAACUCGAUAAACGUUUAUUUCAUAAGAGCUGAGAUUUGACUGUUGGGUAUCCCAAUGUGAGAAGUAACAUGGAUGCAUUAAAUGUUUUCUGCACAACAAUCUCAACCCUAUUUUACUUUAUUGUUAUUGCAAACUUUUAUUGCUUGCAGAUAGAUUCUAAACACUGAUUUACAAAUUUCACUAUUUCAUUCCUUGGGAGAGACCUUGGGGUCAUUAGACCUUAUCUAUAUUAUCAUCUCUUUGGUAUUAGACGGUCUAGCUUUGUGUUAGAUGGUCUAGCUUUGUGUUAGAAGAUCUCCACUAAAAUUAAUUUAAUUUGAUAGAAAAAUAACAACUAUCACUCACAUUCAUAGUCCACGUAGUUUUCUGAAAAAUAUAAGAAACUAUGUUUAGUUUCUUUCUUGUUUUGUGCAGGAGUGCAAAAGGUUUAAGUGUGGAGGUGUGAUAACCCUCGGUUUUCUUAUAUUUUUCUAUAUGUAUCUCCUAGAGGUUUAUUUGAAUCUUAUUUUCUAUCUUUAUAGUAGAUUUGUACUUUUGCAAGAAAUUAGGAUUACUUACAAAAAAGUAAUAAAAACUGUUUUUUACAACUUAAAUUUUGCAUAGAUCAUCUAACAGUUGCUUAGGUCUUUUGUGGGAUAUGCAGAAAAUUAAGUAGCAUCCUAUAAAUUUGAGUAAUACCCUAUAAAUGCGGAUAACACCCUAUAAAUCCGGUAACCAUUAGAUAAAUAAGCUAAUGCUAUUUUAUUGAAGAUACACGUCAGAUAGGCCUGUAAGCGAAGAUAGUCACUAUUAACACUAUAAAUAAGCAUUGUUACACAAGAGUAAGGUACGCUUUUAUGAAUACAUCAUUCACUCUUAUACAGAGCAUUUAUUUGAUCGUUGGAUAACCGUUUGCAAGGUAACUUCCGACCGAGUAUCAGAGAGUGAGCACGAGAAGAGAAAUGACGAGCGACAGAGCACCAAAGAACGAGUACUAGAAGGAAGACAAAGGAGGAAAUGAGAGACAAUUCUUUCAGCCAAUAUCAUGUACUAUCUAAGCCUUAUCAGUUUAUAAAAGUACAUCUGAUUUGAUACUCAUUGAAAAAUUUAUGAGUUUAGUAGUACUAUAUUUAACAUAAUUUAGAAUUUAAUUUAAUUUAUUGUUAAAAACUCAACUAAUCAAAAUUUUUAUUGAAAAAAAAUAUAUAACUUUUUUAAAUAUAUUACAAAAUCAUCUUAAUUGAAGAAGAGAGAAAAAUAUAAAAGUAAAUUAGAUGGGUUAAAAAUAAAAAUUUUUAUUAAAAAAUUAGAAUAAAAUCCCUUUAAUAAUAAGUUAUUUCUUACGUAAUAAUUAUAUAAAAAGCAAACAUUCAAAAAUAGUUUCUAUUAAUUGUUGAAAUACUUAAAGAUACACAAUAAAAAACCGAAUCAAUUAAAAAAAUAUAUAAAAAAGAAUUAUAAACUCUCAACCAACAAAACACAAUAGUAACCUUCAAAAAAGAAUUAAUACUAAUUAUAAAUAGAAAAUUCUACAUAAUAAACAUUAGUAGGGUUAGUUUUAGCUUGAAAAGCUUUAUAACAGGGUAUUAUUUGUGAAAGUGGCAUAGAAAGUUUUCCCAGCUCCAAGGGACAUGCAAUGGCAACAAAAAAACACAAAUAUAGCGAAAGCGAUGACCAAAAAGAGUGAAAUCCACACGCAUUUUACAAACCAUGCAACGAUGCAAGUAGUUAAACACCUCACUAAUACGUUCUUUUUUCUUCCACAAGGUUGGUAACCAAUAAAUUUUUCCUAUAAAAUUUGACAAUUAUUAUAUCUUAAAAAUAAUUAAAUAAUGUUUUUUUAAAACAAUGUUAUCAAUGUAUACAUAAUUCUCUUUGAAAUCAAUUAAUGAUGUCUUAUUAUUACUAAAAUACUUUAUUUGUUACCAUGUUAAGUAAACUUAAUAAUAGUAGGUCUUUUUUCAUUAAAAAAAAAUUGAUAGUGGUUGAAGAUUUGGCGGAGUAACUAUAAAAGUUAGGCAAAAUAAGUAUGAAUGGUAUUAGGAUAGGGAGAAAUAAGAUAGAACUUAAUUUCUUACCAUUUGUAUACUAUAUUUUUGGGUAUGUGAAACUCAAUCUAAGCAUAUAUUAUUUGUAUACAUAUUGUUAAUGUUAAUUUUAACAAAACUAACAUUAUAGAAAUAGGAAUGCAAAGGAGAUUUUUAGAAAGAUAUACAACAAUUCUGAAUUGCAACACAAUGAUUGCACAUUUCCCUUACAUGGGUAUGGAGAAGAGGGAAUCAAAGAAAACAUGAGUUCUGGAAGCUAGUUUACAAUUAGAAAAAGAUUAGCAAAAUGGAAAGAGAAGUAUUAAUCAUAUGCAUACAUGGUUUGUGUGUUAAAAUCAAUGCUCAAAUCAAUUCCUUUAUUUUAUAUAUCUUUAUUCAAAGUUACUGGCUAGGGUGGGGAGAGAAAUUAGGAGAAUUCAAAUUAAUUUUCUAUAGGGAUACAAGAAGAAGAAUAAGAAACUUUGCCUGAGUCAAAUGAGAGAACAUGUGUAAAGAAAAAAAGGAGAAGGGUUUGGGUAUAAAAGAUUUGAAAUUGUUCAAUGUGGCAUUAUUGGAUAAUGGAAAUGGAUUAGUAAAUGAUGCAAAAGGGAUUGUGGAAACAAAUAAUAUAGUCGAAAUAUGGUUGCUAGGAAAAUCAAAAAAAAUGAAUCAAUGAAUGAGUUUGUUUGGAUAACAUUGAUAUGCAAGCGAUUGUUAUUAAUGAAUGGGAAAAAUGUGAUUAAUGAAUGGGUUUUCCUGUAAAUUGUAUGCAGAUAACAUUGAUAUGUAGGUGAUUGUUAUUAAUGAAUGGAAGAAAAUUGAUGAAUGGAUGGGUUUGUCUGGAAAUUAUUUGCAAUUGUCUGGAUAAUAUUGAUAUGCAAGUGAUUAUUAUUAAUUAACGGGGGGAAAUCGAUCAAUGAAUGAAUUUGUCUGAAUUUUAUAUGCAGAUGAUUAUUAUUAAUGAAUGUUGGAAAAUUGAUAAAACAAUCGUUUUUCUAAAAAAAACAAACUUACUAUGAUGGUUAUUGCAAUAGAUGACAUAAAAAGUCUUAUUUAUUAUGACGGGUGUUAGAAUAUUUGUCAUAGAAAAUUACUUAAUAUGACGGACCGUCAUAGUAAGUCAUAUUUUCUAUGACGAUUGUAGAAAUAUCAGUUAUAGAAAGUUUUUGCUGAACAUAUUAUUACAUAUAUUUUGAACAUUUUAUGACGGUUUAUAGACAAGAGUCAUAGUAAGUCUAUAACUAAGUCAACUUACUAUGUUUGUUAUUCAACCCACAUAAAAAGUGCAGAAUUUUUAUAACUUCUGAUUCUAUAUUACUAUUAAAACUAUGAUAAAAAGAUCUUGUAGAACCAUCAUAAAAAAAUAUUUUGUGCAGUAGUUAUUGAUUAACAUCUUAUCAUUAUUUAUUUUUUCUAAAAGUUCACAUACAUAAUUAAGAUCAUAUAUAAUUCAUAUAUAAAUUAUAAUUCAUCCGUUAAAAUUAAUAACUUUUUUUCUAAAUGUAAGGUAUUUUUAUUUUUUGAAUAAACUAUUUUAAACUAAUAUUUCAUAUACAUUCAAUCCCUGCAUCUUUACACGCUUUUUUGUAAAAUGUUUUGCCUCUAGCAUUAAUAUUCUUUUUAAAUAAAGAUUUUUCAUGACUAAAAGUCAAUCUUCUGAAAAAUAAAGGUUAUCGAAGAGAUUAAUCUUUCUGAAACACUCAAAUUAUAGAAGUAACUUUUAUUUCAUAUUCAUAUAAGUAUUCUUUUAUUAAAAAAAAUAUUAAAUAAAAAUUAAUUUUAAAAAUUAAAAAUAAUUAGUUAUUAUAUUUCAAUAUUAAUUUAAAAACUAAAAAAAAUCAUGCAUCUCUAAAAUAAUUUAUUAAUAAAAAUUAUAAAUUAAUUUUUAUAUUGAUAUCUAAUUAUUUAAGAAUGUUUUAGCUAAAAAAAUUAGAUAAUCAGUUAAAACCUUGAUAUUCAAUUAAAUAUCAAUUUAUAAAUUUUAUUAAUAAUAAAAACUAUUUUAAAUAUCUAUAAUUUAAUAUAUAAAAUAAUAUAUAAUUUAAUUAAUAUAAUAAUUAAUUUUUUUAUCAAUAAAAUUGAUUUUUAUUUAAUAAUUUAUAUAUUUAAUUUAUUUAUUUAUUUACAAUUAUAAUUAAAUGAGUAAUUUACUAGAUUUAUAUUUUAACAUCAUUUUGUUUACUAGAAAGGACUCAAUUUGUUAAUGUGAAGUUUGUCGGAUGGUCUCCACCUACAAUCUUCAAGAAAAAAAAAAAAAAAUAUAUAUAUAUAUAUAUAUAUAUAUAUAUAAAGUUAAACUAAACGACCACGUAACAGUAUUUGAAUUAAAAAACGUAGUUACUUGAGGAAAUUUAACAAUUUUGGUGUGUGUGUUUUGUAUUAUUACAGUGGUGGUGUAAAACAGAGUUUCUGCGACUUUGCACAUUAGAAAGAUGUUGUAAAACGUAAAUAAAGGGUAAUGAAAAGUGUUCUGUGAUCUGGAGAAUGUUGCCUUAUUUUUUGUAAUGAUAUAGUGAUACUAAUUUUUUAUAUAAUCACAUUAUAACUCUCAUUAUUAUUUUAAUAUUUUUAUUAUUAUUUAAUUAUAAAUUUAUCUUUUAUUAUAUAUAUUUAUUUUUAAAUCUCAUAAAAAAAAUUUAUAAAACUUUAAUAUCAUUUUCCUUAUUCCCUACAACCUUCGCUUGCACAGAAUUUAAUAUGCGUCCGCGUUUUUAAACAACUGGUUCUCAAAAAACACAAACCAAACACGGUAUUGCAGCAAAGAAUAAGGUCAAAAGUCAAAAACCAGAAGUUACACACUGAAUCCAGAAACCAAUUUCGCUCUUCUAUCUACGUUCCCAUAACGCAAACCAAUUCUAUAUAUAACCAUCUCAGAACAAACCCAACAACAAAAGAAAGAGAUUUUCAGAGGUUAAUAUAUACAUUACUUCCUUCUUUUUCAUCAUCUUUCACAUCUCUUAAGUUCAAACCUUAAACACAAACAUGGGACUCAGAUCACGUACGCUAGAAAUCACCGUCAUCUCCGGUGAAAACGUCCGCAUAAUGGAGGACGCAUACGUCGUCGUUCGGGCGGAGUCGCUCAACUGCUGCACCACCAGACCGGCCAAAGACGAUGGC
This 8109-nucleotide long non-coding RNA is filed under the name Phaseolus vulgaris (common bean). RNAcentral's name for it is "long non-coding RNA (PVUL_LNC000807)". Lineage: Eukaryota; Viridiplantae; Streptophyta; Magnoliopsida; Fabales; Fabaceae. The record is from RNAcentral.